RNAcentral lists this ribosomal RNA (1369 nucleotides) under uncultured bacterium. RNAcentral describes it as "bacterial SSU rRNA". It matches the Rfam family "Bacterial small subunit ribosomal RNA", at positions 28 to 1381 of the family's 1533-position model. The record is from RNAcentral.
GACGAACGCUGGCGGCGUGCCUAAUACAUGCAAGUAGAACGCUGAAGAGAGGAGCUUGCUCUUCUUGGAUGAGUUGCGAACGGGUGAGUAACGCGUAGGUAACCUGCCUUGUAGCGGGGGAUAACUAUUGGAAACGAUAGCUAAUACCGCAUAACAAUGGAUGACACAUGUCAUUUAUUUGAAAGGGGCAAUUGCUCCACUACAAGAUGGACCUGCGUUGUAUUAGCUAGUAGGUGAGGUAACGGCUCACCUAGGCGACGAUACAUAGCCGACCUGAGAGGGUGAUCGGCCACACUGGGACUGAGACACGGCCCAGACUCCUACGGGAGGCAGCAGUAGGGAAUCUUCGGCAAUGGGGGCAACCCUGACCGAGCAACGCCGUGUGAGUGAAGAAGGUUUUCGGAUCGUAAAGCUCUGUUGUAAGUCAAGAACGAGUGUGAGAGUGGAAAGUUCACACUGUGACGGUAGCUUACCAGAAAGGGACGGCUAACUACGUGCCAGCAGCCGCGGUAAUACGUAGGUCCCGAGCGUUGUCCGGAUUUAUUGGGCGUAAAGCGAGCGCAGGCGGUUUGAUAAGUCUGAAGUUAAAGGCUGUGGCUCAACCAUAGUUCGCUUUGGAAACUGUCAAACUUGAGUGCAGAAGGGGAGAGUGGAAUUCCAUGUGUAGCGGUGAAAUGCGUAGAUAUAUGGAGGAACACCGGUGGCGAAAGCGGCUCUCUGGUCUGUAACUGACGCUGAGGCUCGAAAGCGUGGGGAGCGAACAGGAUUAGAUACCCUGGUAGUCCACGCCGUAAACGAUGAGUGCUAGGUGUUGGAUCCUUUCCGGGAUUCAGUGCCGCAGCUAACGCAUUAAGCACUCCGCCUGGGGAGUACGACCGCAAGGUUGAAACUCAAAGGAAUUGACGGGGGCCCGCACAAGCGGUGGAGCAUGUGGUUUAAUUCGAAGCAACGCGAAGAACCUUACCAGGUCUUGACAUCCCGAUGCUAUUUCUAGAGAUAGAAAGUUACUUCGGUACAUCGGUGACAGGUGGUGCAUGGUUGUCGUCAGCUCGUGUCGUGAGAUGUUGGGUUAAGUCCCGCAACGAGCGCAACCCCUAUCGUUAGUUGCCAUCAUUCAGUUGGGCACUCUAGCGAGACUGCCGGUAAUAAACCGGAGGAAGGUGGGGAUGACGUCAAAUCAUCAUGCCCCUUAUGACCUGGGCUACACACGUGCUACAAUGGUUGGUACAACGAGUUGCGAGUCGGUGACGGCAAGCUAAUCUCUUAAAGCCAAUCUCAGUUCGGAUUGUAGGCUGCAACUCGCCUACAUGAAGUCGGAAUCGCUAGUAAUCGUGGAUCAGCACGCCGCGGUGAAUACGUUCCCGGGCCU